UAAUCUCUCCUUCUCAAAACACCACUACACCUUAAAAAAAAAAGAACUAACUAAACCCAUUUUCUAUUGUUUGUCUAGAAAAAUCGAAUUCUCAUUUUGUGGUGCAAUUUAUCGAGUCGUUUCCUCUUUCUCCAUCCACUCGUUUCCUCUUCUCUCUCUCACACAGAAAAACAACCAUCAUCUCUAACCAGAAAAAACCCUAAAUUUCAUUUCACCUAACCCUAAUUUCGAUAUUGAUUGGAAAUUCCUUGCAGAUCUUUGAAAUUGAAUCCAUGGGUUGAAGUAAUUUGUUGUUUUAAUCAAAGGGUUUGAAUUUUUCUAUAAGAAAUUGAUUGAUGGAGUGGGAUAGUGAUUCAGAAGGUAUAAGUGGAGAUGAAGAAGUUGGGUUUUUAUUAAACGAUGGAGGUCCACUUUCAUUUACAAUCGGUAGUUUACUUCAAUCUUCACCCUGUGGUCUUGUUGUUACUGAUUCAUUAGAACCUGAUCAUCCUAUUAUUUAUGUUAAUGCCGGUUUUGAAAUGGUUACUGGUUAUCGAGCUGAAGAAGUUCUGGGCCGAAAUUGCCGUUUCUUGCAGUGCAGGGGGCCGUUUGCGAAAAGGAGGCAUCCUUUGGUGGAUUCCACUGUCGUCACAGAAAUAAGGAGAUGCCUCGAGGAUGGGGUUGAGUUCCACGGGGACUUGUUAAAUUUUAGGAAAGAUGGUUCUCCACUCAUGAAUAGAUUAAGGCUGACUCCCAUAUACGGGGAUGAUGAAAUAAUCACUCAUGUCAUUGGCAUCCAGUUCUUCACAGAAACGAAUCUUGAUUUGGGCCCGCUGCCUGGUUAUUCUAUGAAGGAGUCAGUGAGAUCAAAUGAUCGUUUCCGCUCUGAUCUUUCCUCAUAUAGGCCAGGUCCAUAUGGACAUAAUAAUAUUUGUUGUGAGCUUCGUGGUAUGUUGCAGUUGAGUGAUGAGGUCUUGUCUCACAAAAUACUCUCAAAGCUGACACCUAGAGAUAUUGCAUCUGUCGGUUCUGUAUGUAAACGGCUCUAUCAAAUAACAAAAAACGAAGACCUGUGGAGAAUGGUUUGCCAAAAUGCAUGGGGUAGUGAAACUACUCGUGUACUAGAAGCAGUGCCGGGAGCAAAAAGGCUAGGGUGGGGUCGACUGGCUAGGGAAUUAACUACCCUGGAAGCGGCAGCAUGGAGAAAAUUGACUGUUGGAGGUGCUGUCGAGCCCUCACGUUGCAAUUUUAGUGCUUGUGCCGUCGGGAAUAGAGUUGUUCUUUUUGGCGGGGAAGGGGUAAACAUGCAACCAAUGAAUGAUACAUUUGUACUGGACUUGAAUGCUAGUCAACCGGAAUGGAGACAUGUCAAAGUUAAUUCCCCGCCUCCCGGCAGGUGGGGCCACACACUUUCUUGCUUGAAUGAGUCAUCUUUGGUUGUCUUCGGAGGCUGUGGAAGGCAGGGCUUACUAAAUGAUGUUUUUGUGUUGGACUUGGAUGCAAAAGAUCCUUCGUGGCGUGAAAUCUCUGGAUUAACUCCACCCCUUGCAAGAUCAUGGCACAGCUCGUGCACCCUGGAUGGCACUAAGCUGGUUGUUUCGGGUGGUUGUGCUGAUUCCGGUGUGCUUCUCAGUGACACCUUCUUGCUGGAUUUCUCAAUCAUGGAAAGGCCAGUGUGGAGGGAGAUACCUGUAGCAUGGACCCCUCCUUCAAGAUUGGGUCACACGCUUUCUGUCUAUGGUGGACGUAAGAUAUUGAUGUUUGGUGGCCUGGCCAAGAGUGGACCCCUUCGACUGCGCUCAAGUGACGUGUUCACAAUGGAUCUUAGUGAAGAUGAACCAUGUUGGAGAUGUGUAACUGGCAGUGGGAUGCCAGGGGCUGGAAAUCCAGCAGGUAUAGCUCCUCCUCCUCGGCUUGAUCAUGUUGCAGUCAGCCUCCCCGGUGGUAGAAUAUUGAUAUUUGGUGGGUCUGUUGCUGGUCUUCAUUCUGCAUCCCAGCUAUACCUCCUGGACCCAAGCGAUGAGAAGCCAACCUGGAGGAUUCUGAACGUACCUGGGAGACCUCCUAGAUUUGCUUGGGGCCAUAGUACAUGUGUUGUUGGAGGGACAAGGGCAAUUGUCCUUGGAGGGCAAACUGGUGAAGAGUGGAUGCUUAGUGAUCUACACGAGCUAUCUUUGGCUAGCUCCUUCAUGUGAUUCAGAAGUAUAGCGGUUUGCGGUUGGACUAUAAUCUGGUAGUUGGGGGAAUCUGAGUGUAUAUUUGUGACUCGUGAGGGAAAACCAAAAAAGUAGUUUCUAUUAUUAUGCACUAAACAGCAGGUCAUGGCUAGGAGUACGUGGACAGAUUGGUGGUUGAGGUGUGCUUGAGCUAGUUGACUCUUUUAUCUAAACAGCUGAAUCCCAUAGCUAACUUUGUGUGAAGGCCGAGUGAAGGUCAAGAUUAAGUGAGUUCUAAUGUGAAGCAUAGGAACACACUCUAUGCAGGAGGAAAGAGACCAGGAGACCAGGCUUGCUACUUAUGUGUUAUUAUUCGGCUUUGAUGGUGGGUUGCUUGAUUUAGAGCUGCUGCAGUUAGAUCUGAAUUUUGGUCCAGAGGUUCUAUUUUUGAUAGGUUAUACACAAUUACUUAAAAAAAAUUCACUCGAAAAAAAAUAAGCAAAUUUCUGGUGUGAACUUUGAAGUGGUAAAUGAUUUUGAAAAAAUCUUAAUUGCGCUGAACUAUUGUCUGUCAUGUGGUGGCAAGCUGGGUUUUUCAGUUCAAUGUUGGACAUUGUUUUUUCGUCGAUGUUCAAGAAGCUGGGUGUAAUGUGGCGGAAAUUGCAAUAUUGAUAAGCUGGGUGUAAUGUUGCGGAUACUGCUGUUUUCACGUGUGCUUUCUGGAAUGAGUUUGGGAGGCUUUUUGCAACCUCAAUUUUCACCAUGGGAUAGUAUGAGCAUGCAGCUCCUCCGUGUGACUGCAAAUUAGAUUCCAAUCAGACUUCAACGUCUUAAGGUUAUAUGUAUGAUCCAAAUUAUUUGCAUCUACAUUCUAGGCAAUGUGGUUGCAAUUUUAUUCCUAUUUUGCAGAAAGUCCUUUCUUAUCUCUUAGGUAGGUACUUUUUGAUGUUGGUCUUGCAAGUUGGUGUAAAGUGUACAAUGGUAGUAAUUACCAGUUGAAAGUUGGAACAAGUGAGAUAUGAGAUGUCAGGUAAGUCAAAAAUUUGUGGUGGAAUUUUUGGAUGUGGUGUAGUCUUUUGUCUUGGAAGUUCACAGGGAAUUCAUUUAGGGUAA
Papaver somniferum (opium poppy) is the source of this 3248-nucleotide RNA transcript. It is a transcript of the gene named adagio protein 1-like, with no coding region annotated. NCBI's taxonomy places the organism in Eukaryota, Viridiplantae, Streptophyta, Magnoliopsida, Ranunculales, Papaveraceae. The transcript is spliced from 4 exons. The record is from RefSeq and is a predicted model, not a curated record.